RNAcentral lists this non-coding RNA (109 nucleotides) under Dyadobacter linearis. RNAcentral's name for it is "Dyadobacter sp. CECT 9623 SAM". It matches the Rfam family "SAM riboswitch aptamer (S box leader)". Rfam says of the family: The SAM riboswitch is found upstream of a number of genes which code for proteins involved in methionine or cysteine biosynthesis in Gram-positive bacteria. The SAM riboswitch acts at the level of transcription termination control. The predicted structure consists of a complex stem-loop region followed by a single stem loop terminator region. The record is from RNAcentral. Lineage: Bacteria; Pseudomonadati; Bacteroidota; Cytophagia; Cytophagales; Spirosomataceae.
GAUUUAUAAAGAAGAGGCGAGAGAAUGGGCUCAACGAACCUCUGGCAACCUGCUACCAUCAUGGAGAAAGGUGCUAAUUCCCACCUAAUUUUAUUAGGAGAUAUAAAAU